AUAUUGCCGAUAGAGCAGGCGGCUAUUGAUUUAGCGCGGCCGGGUCUUUAAGACAGCAGGAUUUUAAAUUACAGCCCUGUGGGACGUUA
RNAcentral lists this non-coding RNA (89 nucleotides) under Lentisphaerota bacterium. RNAcentral describes it as "Lentisphaerae bacterium NiCo sequence". It matches the Rfam family "NiCo (Nickel/Cobalt) riboswitch aptamer". Lineage: Bacteria; Pseudomonadati; Lentisphaerota. The record is from RNAcentral.